RNAcentral lists this ribosomal RNA (868 nucleotides) under uncultured bacterium. RNAcentral describes it as "bacterial SSU rRNA". It matches the Rfam family "Bacterial small subunit ribosomal RNA", at positions 9 to 855 of the family's 1533-position model. The record is from RNAcentral.
GAGUUUGAUCCUGGCUCAGAUUGAACGCUGGCGGCAGGCCUAACACAUGCAAGUCGAGCGGAAACGAGUUAUCUGAACCUUCGGGGAACGAUAACGGCGUCGAGCGGCGGACGGGUGAGUAAUGCCUAGGAAAUUGCCCUGAUGUGGGGGAUAACCAUUGGAAACGAUGGCUAAUACCGCAUGAUGCCUACGGGCCAAAGAGGGGGACCUUCGGGCCUCUCGCGUCAGGAUAUGCCUAGGUGGGAUUAGCUAGUUGGUGAGGUAAGGGCUCACCAAGGCGACGAUCCCUAGCUGGUCUGAGAGGAUGAUCAGCCACACUGGAACUGAGACACGGUCCAGACUCCUACGGGAGGCAGCAGUGGGGAAUAUUGCACAAUGGGCGCAAGCCUGAUGCAGCCAUGCCGCGUGUAUGAAGAAGGCCUUCGGGUUGUAAAGUACUUUCAGUCGUGAGGAAGGCGGCGUCGUUAAUAGCGGCGUUGUUUGACGUUAGCGACAGAAGAAGCACCGGCUAACUCCGUGCCAGCAGCCGCGGUAAUACGGAGGGUGCGAGCGUUAAUCGGAAUUACUGGGCGUAAAGCGCAUGCAGGUGGUUUGUUAAGUCAGAUGUGAAAGCCCGGGGCUCAACCUCGGAAUAGCAUUUGAAACUGGCAGACUAGAGUACUGUAGAGGGGGGGUAGAAUUUCAGGUGUAGCGGUGAAAUGCGUAGAGAUCUGAAGGAAUACCGGUGGCGAAGGCGGCCCCCUGGACAGAUACUGACACUCAGAUGCGAAGGCGUGGGGAGCAAACAGGAUUAGAUACCUUGGUAAUCCACGCCGUAAACGAUGUCUACUUGGGAGGUUGUGGCCUUGAGCCGUGCUUUCGGAGCUAA